RNAcentral lists this transfer RNA (66 nucleotides) under Shijimiaeoides divina. Its description in RNAcentral is "tRNA-Ala". It matches the Rfam family "tRNA". Rfam says of the family: Transfer RNA (tRNA) molecules are approximately 80 nucleotides in length. Their secondary structure includes four short double-helical elements and three loops (D, anti-codon, and T loops). RNAcentral also lists the same sequence under 1 other name. The record is from RNAcentral. Lineage: Eukaryota; Metazoa; Arthropoda; Insecta; Lepidoptera; Lycaenidae.
AGGAUUUUAGUUAAAAAAAAACAUUUGAUUUGCAUUCAAAAAAUACUAAUUAUUUAGUAUAUCUUA